UACGAAGGGGGCGAGCGUUGUUCGGAUUUACUGGGCGUAAAGGGCGCGCAGGCGGCUCAUUUUGUCAGGCGUGAAAGCCCCGGGCUUAACCUGGGAACUGCGUUUGAUACGGAUGGGCUAGAGUUCGGGAGAGGAGAGUGGAAUUCCCAGUGUAGAGGUGAAAUUCGUAGAUAUUCGCAAGAACACCAGUGGCGAAGGCGGCUUACUGGUCCGGUUCUGACGCUGAGGCGCGAAAGCUAGGGGAGCAAACGGG
This 253-nucleotide ribosomal RNA is filed under the name uncultured bacterium. RNAcentral describes it as "partial 16S ribosomal RNA". It matches the Rfam family "Bacterial small subunit ribosomal RNA", at positions 524 to 776 of the family's 1533-position model. The record is from RNAcentral.